CUUGAAAUACCACCCUUUAAUGUUUGAUGUUCUAACGUUGACCCGUAAUCCGGGUUGCGGACAGUGUCUGGUGGGUAGUUUGACUGGGGCGGUCUCCUCCUAAAGAGUAACGGAGGAGCACGAAGGUUGGCUAAUCCUGGUCGGACAUCAGGAGGUUAGUGCAAUGGCAUAAGCCAGCUUGACUGCGAGCGUGACGGCGCGAGCAGGUGCGAAAGCAGGUCAUAGUGAUCCGGUGGUUCUGAAUGGAAGGGCCAUCGCUCAACGGAUAAAAGGUACUCCGGGGAUAACAGGCUGAUACCGCCCAAGAGUUCAUAUCGACGGCGGUGUUUGGCACCUCGAUGUCGGCUCAUCACAUCCUGGGGCUGAAGUAGGUCCCAAGGGUAUGGCUGUUCGCCAUUUAAAGUGGUACGCGAGCUGGGUUUAGAACGUCGUGAGACAGUUCGGUCCCUAUCUGCCGUGGGCGCUGGAGAACUGAGGGGGGCUGCUCCUAGUACGAGAGGACCGGAGUGGACGCAUCACUGGUGUUCGGGUUGUCAUGCCAAUGGCACUGCCCGGUAGCUAAAUGCGGAAGAGAUAAGUGCUGAAAGCAUCUAAGCACGAAACUUGCCCCGAGAUGAGUUCUCCCUGACUCCUUGAGAGUCCUGAAGGAACGUUGAAGACGACGACGUUGAUAGGCCGGGUGUGUAAGCGCAGCGAUGCGUUGAGCUAACCGGUACUAAUGAACCGUGAGGCUUAACCUUACAACGCCGAAGCUGUU
RNAcentral lists this ribosomal RNA (757 nucleotides) under Escherichia coli. RNAcentral describes it as "partial 23S ribosomal RNA". It matches the Rfam family "Bacterial large subunit ribosomal RNA", at positions 2191 to 2925 of the family's 2925-position model. Lineage: Bacteria; Pseudomonadati; Pseudomonadota; Gammaproteobacteria; Enterobacterales; Enterobacteriaceae. The record is from RNAcentral.